RNAcentral lists this ribosomal RNA (271 nucleotides) under uncultured bacterium. RNAcentral's name for it is "partial 16S ribosomal RNA". It matches the Rfam family "Bacterial small subunit ribosomal RNA", at positions 524 to 789 of the family's 1533-position model. The record is from RNAcentral.
UACGAAGGGGGCUAGCGUUGUUCGGAUUUACUGGGCGUAAAGCGCACGUAGGCGGAUCGAUCAGUCAGGGGUGAAAUCCCAGGGCUCAACCCUGGAACUGCCUUUGAUACUGUCGAUCUGGAGUAUGGAAGAGGUGAGUGGAAUUCCGAGUGUAGAGGUGAAAUUCGUAGAUAUUCGGAGGAACACCAGUGGCGAAGGCGGCUCACUGGUCCAUUACUGACGCUGAGGUGCGAAAGCGUGGGGGAGCAAACAGGGAUUAAGAAACCCCCUG